Molecule: unclassified non-coding RNA, 283 nt
Filed under: Hevea brasiliensis (rubber tree)
Lineage: Eukaryota; Viridiplantae; Streptophyta; Magnoliopsida; Malpighiales; Euphorbiaceae
Source: RNAcentral
UUUGUUUUUUUUCUAUAAUUAAAAUCAGGUAAAAGUAAAUCCAAUGAUUAGCCGAAACGCAACAUAUAAGUACAACAAAGCAAUGUAUAUUACCAUAUCUGUUUGGCCGAGGCAAGAGGUCCAAAAUAUGAAAACAUAUGCUAGUACUAUCUCUAGCAAUGAAAUUCCAGUAGAGUAAAUCCUUGAAAGAUUACCAAAUAAGAAGCCUGUGAGAGAGAAUAGUUUGCUCCCCCAUUCCCACUAUCAGUGUUUGGCUAUUGCUAAAAAAAAUCUAUAAUAAGAA